AUGUUCAUGCGGGAGCUGGAGAUCCCCGACCUCGUCCGCUCAGGUGCUGUCUGCGUCUCGUGGCAUGCUGUUUACCUAGCCGUCCGCCGCCAUCGCUUCCCCCUUCCGAUCCCCCGGAAUCAGCUGCCCUGCCUGCUCUACGCAUGCCGCGAUUCCGCCGCAGACGGCGCCGUCGUCCGCUGCCCCUUCACCGGCGAUUCCGUCCAAGUCCCCCUUCCGCUGCCCCCGCUCACCCGCCAUUCCACGGUCGGCUCCGCGCACGGCUGGCUCGUCACCGCCGACGAGGCCUCGAACCUCCACCUUCUCAAUCCCAUCACGGGCGCCCACGCCGCGCUCCCGCCCAUCACCACCCUCCACCAUGUCGAGAGCUGUACCGACGCCGAAGGCCGCCUCACGUACAAUGUCAGGGCGGUGAUCCGGAGCCGAUCCCCUUUGACGCUCGCGAGGCCAGGGACUGCAUGUACCACCGUGUCACCCUCUCCUGCAGCCCGUCGGCUGGAAGCAGUUGCAUCGUGUUGCUGGUGCACAUGCCGGACGGCGAGCUCUCUUACGCCCGGCUCGGCGACGAGCGGUGGACGUGGAUCUCCCCUGACGACCACCAGCUCAUGGGCAUCAGCUGGGGCUUCAUGGACUCUUUCUACAAUGAGGACCAAGAUCAUGCGCAGAGAUAGGAAGGGAAAGGAUCCUUCUAGCAUGUACAUCCUGCAAGCUCCAUGGGGUGAUAUUUUGCAAAUAUGGAGGUGGAGGAGCUACACUGACUCGUCAACACCUGUGGAGCUUCCUAGAGAUCUGCUGGGUCACAACGAAGAUGAGAUAGACCGGUAUAUUGAGCUGAGAACAACUGAAAUAGAGGUCUAUAAGGUUGACCUUGAGAACCAGGCACUUGUGAAGUUGACAAGCUUAGCGAAUCAUGCACUAUUCCUUGAUUAUAAUAGCACCAUGUGUUUUGCCACGAAAGAUUUCCCAGCACUGAAGCCGAACUGUGUCUAUAUCACAGAUGACUCUCUUGAGUAUGUCAACAUGUGUAACCAUAACUGGCGAGAAAUCGGAGUUUGGGAUAUAGAAAACAAGAGCCUGCAGACUUUUGAUAGUGAUUUGCUUACUAAUUCCUGGAUGAACUGGCCUUCUCCGGUUUGGAUAACACCCUCCCUUUUCUAG
Molecule: ribosomal RNA, 1158 nt
Filed under: Triticum aestivum (bread wheat)
Lineage: Eukaryota; Viridiplantae; Streptophyta; Magnoliopsida; Poales; Poaceae
Description: partial small subunit ribosomal RNA
Source: RNAcentral